GAUGAACGCUGGCGGCGUGCCUAAUACAUGCAAGUCGAGCGAACAGACGAGGAGCUUGCUCCUCUGACGUUAGCGGCGGACGGGUGAGUAACACGUGGAUAACCUACCUAUAAGACUGGGAUAACUUCGGGAAACCGGAGCUAAUACCGGAUAAUAUAUUGAACCGCAUGGUUCAAUAGUGAAAGACGGUUUUGCUGUCACUUAUAGAUGGAUCCGCGCCGCAUUAGCUAGUUGGUAAGGUAACGGCUUACCAAGGCAACGAUGCGUAGCCGACCUGAGAGGGUGAUCGGCCACACUGGAACUGAGACACGGUCCAGACUCCUAGGGAGGCAGCAGUAGGGAAUCUUCCGCAAUGGGCGAAAGCCUGACGGAGCAACGCCGCGUGAGUGAUGAAGGUCUUCGGAUCGUAAAACUCUGUUAUUAGGGAAGAACAAAUGUGUAAGUAACUAUGCACGUCUUGACGGUACCUAAUCAGAAAGCCACGGCUAACUACGUG
This 496-nucleotide ribosomal RNA is filed under the name uncultured bacterium. RNAcentral's name for it is "partial 16S ribosomal RNA". It matches the Rfam family "Bacterial small subunit ribosomal RNA", at positions 28 to 507 of the family's 1533-position model. The record is from RNAcentral.